Molecule: long non-coding RNA, 1009 nt
Organism: Phycodurus eques (leafy seadragon)
Lineage: Eukaryota; Metazoa; Chordata; Actinopteri; Syngnathiformes; Syngnathidae
Exons: 3
Source: RefSeq, a predicted model, not a curated record
UCAGUCUACUCCCACUGAACGCAUUUUGUGGCGUCAGUGUGGUGCGUCUUUUGUGGUGGUGCAAUCUGGUGGUGCAGUAGAGAAGGAUAAAGGGAAUUUGAAAGCCAAAUUGAGUAAAUGUUGUGAAGACACCAAAUUAAAUUGGAUUAAGUGCCUACCAAUUGUCUUGUAUGUGAGGACAAUUUGUCUCCCUUUGAGAUCGUUUUUGCAGGGCCUCCAAAUGUCGGAUUGAAUCCUCCAGACUUGCCGAUGGGCACACAUCUUUGCGGAGACAACAUGAUCAGAGCUUCCGGCUGAAAAUGUGGAGACAUCAGCGCUGGCUGGGGCCUUUUCAAGUCCUCCUUGUGACCCACACUGCAGCUGAUGUUGCUGAGAGAGCUACGUGGGUUCACAUGUCAUACUGCAGGACGUUUCAAGCGCCUCCUGUGGUCCCACCUCCUCUCCUCCUUCACCUUCUGCAACGGGUGGUUGGAAAGCCCGCCUGAUAAAGCUGAAUACUGACCGCGACCGGAAAAGAGCUGCUUGCUGUGUCAUAGAGGAGCAGAAGAUAUGUUAUAAAAGCCAAGCAACAACCAAUCACCAGUUGUCUGAACUGACGCGCACACACACAACUUUCGUAACUCGGCGGAAGAACAGAAGAAGAUGACUUCUCCAGGGGGUUUCAAACUCCUCCUCUUUGGUUUAUCAUUACUUGCCAUAAUUAUUGUGUCCAAUAUGUGAAUUGAUGCUCCUACUUUGACAGUUGACACAAUUUAGUUCCUUAUGAGACGUGACAACUAUGACGAGGUUCUUUGGUUGCAUGCGAUUGCCACUACCUCUGCUAAUUUCACCUCCUACAGUAUGACUGUUUAGUUUCUUUACACCCUUCAAGUGGCACGCUCUCAAAAUCCCUCUAAUUGCUGUUUAGUUUUUUUCAUGCAGCUGCUAACCAACUUGUAGUGCCUUCCCCACAUCCAAAUCCGUCAUCACUCUUUCCUCGCACCUUAACGUCUUUUAUCUGUCCACAGUA